RNAcentral lists this long non-coding RNA (897 nucleotides) under Homo sapiens (human). RNAcentral describes it as "HSALNT0295745". The record is from RNAcentral. Lineage: Eukaryota; Metazoa; Chordata; Mammalia; Primates; Hominidae.
AGUCUGCGGUGGCACACACUUCCCCAGCCCCAUCCUUGGAGGGCCCUCUCCUUGGGAUGCCUGAUCCAGUGAUUAGGGACCACUUUUCUUUGGGUUCUAGGGGGUUCCAUGCCUGGGGACGCCUCAACCCACUGGAGUGACUCAGGGAUGGGUUGUGCCUCAACCGUUGAAAAAGGACAGCCCAGGCUCUGUAACCUUCGGUAGCCUCCAGAUCUCACAGUCCCCACCCCUCCCCCUUCUUGUCACAAAGGCCACUGUGGGUGGAGGAACAGUGGGAGUUUGACCCUAGCUCCUGGCCUUGAACUUUCCACAGUGACCCUGCUUGUACCUCUCCUCUACCAAUUAACAUUUAUAGUCACACAGGCUUGGAGGUGGCAAGAAGGGUUUAAAUGCUGGGGCAGAAUCACUUAUAAGAAUGUGGUCUGCCAUUUACUAGCUGUAGGCCCUGAGGGAAAUCUCAGCCCUCAGCUACCACAUCAGUAAAAAUGGGGCAAUAAUACCUGUCCUAACUAGUGGAGAUUGCAGUGAGACGAGAUCGCACCACCGCACUCCAGCCUGGGCAACAGAGUGAGACUCCGUCCCCCCACCCCAAAAAAGAGGAAUACUAAUAUCUACUCUACUGAGUGGUUGUGAUGAUCAACUGAGAUAACACAGAUAAAGUUCAGGACCUGGUCCAAAGUACUAUGGUUAAAAAAAAAAAGUUUCCUCUCCUCCCUCCCUCUUUCUGUCCCUAUAAUCUUCCCUUCUCUUUAUCUGACCCCUCUUUUCUAUUCCCUUUCUUGCUUUAUUUUUCUCUGUAACAUAUCACCAAGUAGCAUUCUUUACAUUUUAAUGGCUUAUUUUAUCACUUUUCUGAUCCCCAUGUCUGUUUAAUCACUGCUGUAUCCAAUGCCUGCC